CCUACGGGUGGCAGCAGUGAGGAAUAUUGGUCAAUGGACGAGAGUCUGAACCAGCCAAGUAGCGUGAAGGAUGACUGCCCUAUGGGUUGUAAACUUCUUUUAUAUGGGAAUAAAAUGUUCCACGUGUGGGAUUUUGUAUGUACCAUAUGAAUAAGGAUCGGCUAACUCCGUGCCAGCAGCCGCGGUAAUACGGAGGAUCCGAGCGUUAUCCGGAUUUAUUGGGUUUAAAGGGAGCGUAGGUGGAUUGUUAAGUCAGUUGUGAAAGUUUGCGGCUCAACCGUAAAAUUGCAGUUGAAACUGGCAGUCUUGAGUACAGUAGAGGUGGGUGGAAUUCGUGGUGUAGCGGUGAAAUGCUUAGAGAUCACGAAGAACUCCGAUUGCGAAGGCAGUUCACUGGACUGCAACUGACACUGAGGCUCGAAAGUGUGGGUAUCAAACAGGAUUAGAUACCCCAGUAGUC
RNAcentral lists this ribosomal RNA (460 nucleotides) under uncultured bacterium. RNAcentral's name for it is "partial 16S ribosomal RNA". It matches the Rfam family "Bacterial small subunit ribosomal RNA", at positions 338 to 795 of the family's 1533-position model. The record is from RNAcentral.